GAUGAACGCUGGCGGCGUGCCUAAUACAUGCAAGUCGAGCGAAGCGGGGACGGGUGAGUAACACGUGGAUAACCUCCUAUAAGACUGGGAAAACUCCGGGAAACCGGAGCUAACCCGAAUACUUAUCGAUGGAUCAGCGUUGCAUGAGCUAGUUGGUAAGGUAACGGCUUACCAAGGCAACGAUGCAUAGCCGAUCUGAGAGGGUGAUCUGCCACACUGGAACUGAGACACGGUCCAGACUCCUACGGGAGGCAGCAGUAGGGAAUCUUUCGCAAUGGGCGAAAGCCUGACGGAGCAAUGCCGCGUGAGUGAUGAAGGGCUUCGGAUCGUAAAGCUCUGUUAGUAGGGAAGCGUUACCUGAUCAGGAAGCCCCGGCUAACUACGUGCCAGCAGCCGCGGUAAUAC
RNAcentral lists this ribosomal RNA (405 nucleotides) under uncultured bacterium. RNAcentral's name for it is "partial 16S ribosomal RNA". It matches the Rfam family "Bacterial small subunit ribosomal RNA", at positions 28 to 526 of the family's 1533-position model. The record is from RNAcentral.